Molecule: ribosomal RNA, 468 nt
Filed under: uncultured bacterium
Lineage: Bacteria
Description: partial 16S ribosomal RNA
Rfam family: Bacterial small subunit ribosomal RNA
Source: RNAcentral
GACGAACGCUGGCGGCGUGCUUAACACAUGCAAGUCGAGCGGUGAUGCUCCAUAUUUCUGGCGUGGAUAAGUGCCGCACAGGUGUGUAUAACGUGAGCGACCUCCCCCUUUCUCUGGAGUAAACGCUGGAAACGGCGACUCAUACUGGAUAUGAAACCGGUCAGCAUGGGCUUUGUGUUGGAAAUUUGUCGGUUUGGCAUGGGCUCGCGGCCUAUCAGCUUGUUGGUGAGGUAAUGGGGCACCAAGGCGACGACGGGUAGCCGGCCUGAGAGGGCGACCGGCCACACUGGGACUGAGACAGGGCCCAGAGUGCUACGGGAGGCAGCAGUGGGGAAUAUUGCACAAUGGGCGGAAGCCUGGUGCAGCGACGCCGCGUGAGGGAUGACGGCCUUCGGGUUGUAAACCUCUUGCAGCAGGGAAGAAGCGAAAGUGACGGUACCUGCAGAAGAAGCAACGGCUAACUACGUG